GCAGCAGUAGGGAAUAUUGGUCAAUGGAUGCAAGUCUGAACCAGCCAUGCCGCGUGCAGGAAGAAGGCCCUAUGGGUUGUAAACUGCUUUUGCCAGGGGAUAAAACAGUUCUGCGGAACAAAUUGAAGGUACCUGGUGAAUAAGCCACGGCUAACUACGUGCCAGCAGCCGCGGUAAUACGUAGGUGGCAAGCGUUGUCCGGAUUUAUUGGGUUUAAAGGGUGCGUAGGCGGCCUUAUAAGUCAGUGCUGAAAUAUCCCGGCUUAACCGGGAGGGUGGCAUUGAUACUGUAGGGCUUGAGUAAAGUUGAGGUAGGCGGAAUUGACGGUGUAGCGGUGAAAUGCUUAGAUAUCGUCAAGAACACCGAUAGUGAAGACAGCUUACUAAACUUUAACUGACGCUGAGGCACGAAAGUGUGGGGAUCAAACAGGAUUAGAUAC
RNAcentral lists this ribosomal RNA (439 nucleotides) under uncultured Microscillaceae bacterium. Its description in RNAcentral is "bacterial SSU rRNA". It matches the Rfam family "Bacterial small subunit ribosomal RNA", at positions 348 to 785 of the family's 1533-position model. Lineage: Bacteria; Pseudomonadati; Bacteroidota; Cytophagia; Cytophagales; Microscillaceae. The record is from RNAcentral.